Molecule: transfer RNA, 74 nt
Filed under: Candidatus Krumholzibacteriia bacterium
Lineage: Bacteria; Candidatus Krumholzibacteriota; Candidatus Krumholzibacteriia
Description: tRNA-Arg
Rfam family: tRNA
About the family: Transfer RNA (tRNA) molecules are approximately 80 nucleotides in length. Their secondary structure includes four short double-helical elements and three loops (D, anti-codon, and T loops).
Source: RNAcentral
GCGCCCGUAGCUCAGUUGGAUAGAGCAACGGCCUUCUAAGCCGUGGGCCGCAGGUUCAAAUCCUGCCGGGCGUA